RNAcentral lists this ribosomal RNA (375 nucleotides) under Triticum aestivum (bread wheat). RNAcentral's name for it is "partial small subunit ribosomal RNA". Lineage: Eukaryota; Viridiplantae; Streptophyta; Magnoliopsida; Poales; Poaceae. The record is from RNAcentral.
AUGGACAUGAUCAGGUUCGCUCCGCUAAUGGGGAAGGUAUGCACAUCUCGCAUAUUGGUCAGGCAUCACUUCUUACACGUCGAUCCACACAAUUACGUCUUCUUAAUGUCCUCUGUGUUCCCACUGUUUCACGUAGUUUGCUUUCAGUUCCUAAACUUACUCGUGAUAAUAAUGUUCUUGCUGAAUUUCAUCCUUUUCAUUUUUUUGUUAAGGACCGGGACACGAGGGACGUACUUUGAUAGAGGCAAAGGUGUCCCGUCUUUCGAUGAGAUGAUGGAUAUCGCUUUGGUGGCAGUCGACUUUGACGAUCCGACUACGAACGUGCGAGGACGUCGCGCCUUAGCAAUCGCUAAACCAACUCCGAGAGGUUAUUGA